CAAUAGCGUAUAUUAAAGUUGUUGCAGUUAAAAAGCUCGUAGUUGGAUUUGUGGCGUACGGUGUGUUCCGGGCACUUGUUGUCUGAGUAACCUGCUGUUGCCAUCCUUGGGUGGAACCUGUGUGGCAUUAGGUUGUCGUGCAGGGGAUGCCCAUCAUUUACUGUGAAAAAUUAGAGUGUUCAAAGCAGGCUUAUGCCGUUGAAUAUAUUAGCAUGGAAUAAUGAGAUAGGACUUUUUUGCUAUUUUGUUGGUUUGCGCAAAGAGGUAAUGAUUAAUAGGGACAGUUGGGGAUAUUCGUAUUCCAUUGUCAGAGGUGAAAUUCUUGGAUUUUUGGAAGACGAACUACUGCGAAAGCAUUUACCAAGGAUGUUUUCAUUAA
RNAcentral lists this ribosomal RNA (379 nucleotides) under uncultured eukaryote. RNAcentral's name for it is "partial 18S ribosomal RNA". It matches the Rfam family "Eukaryotic small subunit ribosomal RNA", at positions 592 to 976 of the family's 1831-position model. The record is from RNAcentral.